UGGUGCUAGCAACACUUUCCUAGCACAAAUUCAGGUGCUCAAUAACUUCAAAUUUUUUAUAAAACACACAAUUUCCAUCCACAAUUCUCGGAAAAAUAAGUACUUAAAAAAAAUACUCAACUCUCGCGCUAAAAAUAAUAUACAGUUUCCCACCCACAAUUUCAUACUAUCGAAAAUUCCUUAGUUUCUCACCGCCUAAUCCUCAAAUCUCUCCGUCUCUCUUGCUCCGCCGGAUUCCUCAAAUCUCUCCGCUGCUCUCUCAAAUUGAGGAACAGCAGAUUUCAGUGAAGAUUCCCCUGCUCUCUCAAAUUGAGGAACAGCAGAUUUCAGUGAAGAUUCCCCUGCUCCAAUCCACUCGUAGAGGCGCUGCAGAUUUCUCUCUCACUUGGCAGCAACAGAAAUAGCUCGUGGAGGAUAUACAAGUCGUAAAACUUCAUCUUCCAUUGACACUACACUUGAGGAUGUCUUGGACCGAUUCGAUGCUGAAUUGUCAGCGGAUGCUGCUGAGGAACAAGAUAUAGUUGGGAGUCAGCGACUUUCCACCUCCACCACGUCCUCUAGAUGAAUAUGGCCGGAAGUAUAUACAGCUUGUGAUGCAGGACGAACUUGCGAAAGUGCGUAAAGAGUUAGACCAGAAAACAGCGUCGUUGCAAGACCAGCUGAAGAUCCUCGCUGAACAGUUCAACCAAUUGACAUGAGGCUAGUGUUAUGAACUCCAUUUGAAGUGGAACAAUGUAGUAUUUUGAACUCCUUAACUAACUUCCUCUGAAGUGAACCAAUUUAGUAUUUUAAA
Long non-coding RNA from Salvia splendens (bonfire salvia), 793 nucleotides. RefSeq lists it as uncharacterized. The record is from RefSeq and is a predicted model, not a curated record. The transcript has 2 exons. Lineage: Eukaryota; Viridiplantae; Streptophyta; Magnoliopsida; Lamiales; Lamiaceae.